CCUACGGGAGGCAGCAGUGAGGAAUAUUGGUCAAUGGGCGAGAGCCUGAACCAGCCAAGUCGCGUGAAGGAUGACGGCCCUACGGGUUGUAAACUUCUUUUGUCAGGGAGCAAUUGGGUCUACGCGUGGGCUUAGCGACAGUACCUGAAGAAAAAGCAUCGGCUAACUCCGUGCCAGCAGCCGCGGUAAUACGGUGGACGCGAGCGUUAUCCGGUUUUAUGGGGGUAAAGGGGUGCGUAGGCGGGCUGUUAAGUCAGCGGUAAAAAUUCGGGGCUCAACCCCGUCCGGCCGUUGGAACUGGGGGCCUUGAGUGGGCGAGAGGAAGGCGGAAUGCGUGGUGUAGCGGUGAAAUGCAUAGAUAUCACGCAGAACCCCGAUUGCGAAGGCAGCCUGCCGGCGCCCGACUGACGCUGAGGCACGAAAGUGCGGGGAUCGAACAGGAUUAGAUACCCCUGUAGUC
RNAcentral lists this ribosomal RNA (460 nucleotides) under uncultured bacterium. RNAcentral's name for it is "partial 16S ribosomal RNA". It matches the Rfam family "Bacterial small subunit ribosomal RNA", at positions 338 to 795 of the family's 1533-position model. The record is from RNAcentral.